GUGGCUAUGGUGAAGCGGUUAACACACCGGAUUGUGGCUCCGGCACGCGUGAGUUCGAUCCUCACUAGCCACC
Molecule: transfer RNA, 73 nt
Filed under: Acidaminococcus intestini RyC-MR95
Lineage: Bacteria; Bacillati; Bacillota; Negativicutes; Acidaminococcales; Acidaminococcaceae
Rfam family: tRNA
About the family: Transfer RNA (tRNA) molecules are approximately 80 nucleotides in length. Their secondary structure includes four short double-helical elements and three loops (D, anti-codon, and T loops).
Source: Rfam by way of RNAcentral